Molecule: unclassified non-coding RNA, 562 nt
Filed under: Hevea brasiliensis (rubber tree)
Lineage: Eukaryota; Viridiplantae; Streptophyta; Magnoliopsida; Malpighiales; Euphorbiaceae
Source: RNAcentral
GGCAGUCACUGUGGCCGCAGAAUGGCAGCUCCUUUACAAUCGCUACUACCGGAAACCUGAAAUUUACCUGAUGCAAUGGAAGCACGUCGACCUCACGCGUAACAAAGUCGCCUGCGCUCCUUUCGGUGGUCCAAUCGCUGUCAUACGUGACGAUGCUAAGAUCGUCCAGCUUUACGCUGAAUCUGCCCUUCGUAAGCUUAGAAUUUUCAAUUCCGCUGGUGUUCAGAUCUCUGAAACAGUAUGGAAGAAUCCUGGCGGUCGACUUAUCGGUAUGUCAUGGACUGAUGAUCAAAUUCUAGUUUGUAUUACUCAGGAUGGUACUGUUUAUCGUUAUAACAUACAUGCCGAGCCUAUUGAACCGAAUUCUCAGCUUACGUUAGGUGCGGACUGUUUUACUCAUAGUGUAGUUGAGUGUGUUUUCUGGGGGAAUGGUGUUGUUUGUAUCAAUGAGGCGUUUCAGGUUUAUUGUAUACCUGAUUUCAAUAAUCCAAAACCUGUCAAAUUGGCGGAUACUGGUUUGGAGGAUUUUCCUUUAUGUAUGGCUGUGAUUGAACCGCAGUAU